RNAcentral lists this small RNA (120 nucleotides) under Staphylococcus aureus. RNAcentral describes it as "5'UTR". Lineage: Bacteria; Bacillati; Bacillota; Bacilli; Caryophanales; Staphylococcaceae. The record is from RNAcentral.
AUUUUUCUAAGGUUUAAAAAAUAUUUUUAGGUGCACCUAAAAAUAAAUGUAAUAAAAACGCCUACUCAGAUAUUUAUAUAUCUAUGAAGACGUUUAAAUACAUUAUAGAUGGUCUGGUUC